AAUAUGUGGCAUACGGCUCAGUAACACGUAGUCAACAUGCCCAGGGGACGUGGAUAACCUCGGGAAACUGAGGAUAAACCGCGAUAGGUCAUCACUUCUGGAAUGGGUAAUGACUUAAAUCUAUAUGGCCCCUGGAUUGGACUGCGGCCGAUCAGGCUGUUGGUGAGGUAAUGGCCCACCAAACCUGUAACCGGUACGGGCUCUGAGAGGAGGAGCCCGGAGAUGGGCACUGAGACAAGGGCCCAGGCCCUAUGGGGCGCAGCAGGCGCGAAACCUCUGCAAUAGGCGAAAGCUUGACAGGGUUACUCUGAGUGAUUUCCGUUAAGGAGAUCUUUUGGCACCUCUAAAAAUGGUGCAGAAUAAGGGGUGGGCAAGUCUGGUGUCAGCCGCCGCGGUAAUACCAGCACCCCGAGUGGUCGGGACGUUUAUUGGGCCUAAAGCAUCCGUAGCCGGUUCUACAAGUCUUCCGUUAAAUCCACCUGCUUAACAGAUGGGCUGCGGAAGAUACUAUAGAGCUAGGAGGCGGGAGAGGCAAGCGGUACUCGAUGGGUAGGGGUAAAAUCCGUUGACCCAUUGAAGACCACCAGUGGCGAAGGCGGCUUGCCAGAACGCGCUCGACGGUGAGGGAUGAAAGCUGGGGGAGCAAACCGGAUUAGAUACCCGGGUAGUCCCAGCUGUAAACGAUGCAGACUCGGUGAUGAGUUGGCUUAUUGCUAACUCAGUGCCGCAGGGAAGCCGUUAAGUUUGCCGCCUGGGGAGUACGGUCGCAAGACUGAA
Molecule: ribosomal RNA, 777 nt
Filed under: uncultured archaeon
Lineage: Archaea
Description: bacterial SSU rRNA
Rfam family: Archaeal small subunit ribosomal RNA
Source: RNAcentral